GCAUGAACAGUUGCUGAAAUUGCUCAAUAUGUGGAUUCGGGAUUGCGAUUUUCUCGGGUGAUUGGGAAAGUAAUCCAUUGCAAGUUGCUUUCCGUCUCCAGCAAUUUUCAUUAUUCAAGAAUUUGAUCGCAGAUUUCUGAGGAUGAUCCAAUGUAUCUCGCGAAGGUUUUGGAGUAACCUUCGCUGCUUUCACAGGUAUGACAACAUGUGAAGAUUUGGUAGAUAGUUGUUGGCACCUGGCUACUUUCUUUGGCCGCAGCACGUUUUGUGUACUUCUGUUCUGUUUCUGAAGUCCGUCUAAAAUCCUUUUGCUCAUGAUGCUUAAUUCUUACAGCAACCAGUGCGAGAUCCAUCAAGAAGCGGAGCACGCAGCACCAGUUGCAUUACACCUGCGCAAAAUUUUCACCAACCGCCAUGACCAAAUCCUCUGCACUUCUUCCUCUGGACGUCCGAAUUUCUGCACCACCAUACUGCAAUGCUCACGGCUACUGUGCAUCGGAGUGAUAAUGCUCGUCGGGCAGGAGUAACGGAAUCUGAGACAAUGAAUAGAGAGGAGAUCCAAGGAGGCACAAGAAACAAACAUCCAUCCAGACUCGGCAGUCUCGCUCCCUCAUGCGGAGCUCCUCCCACGAUCUCCAUUAGUUCCAGAUUGCCAAAGAAUCGACGACACUCUGAUGACGAGAGUUACCACACAUGGGUGAGAAAUAUUUCAUUGGGGAAUUUCUUCAUGGUAAGUCAUUAAUCUCAACUGAACCAAUCUCUUAUUUCUUUUUAAAAAUAUGAAAAAAUUCCCAUGUAUAUAUAUAUAUAUAUAUAUAUAUAUAUAUCCCCUACUUAGUUCCAUUUUGCAU
This 851-nucleotide long non-coding RNA is filed under the name Physcomitrium patens. Its description in RNAcentral is "long non-coding RNA (PPAT_LNC007159)". Lineage: Eukaryota; Viridiplantae; Streptophyta; Bryopsida; Funariales; Funariaceae. The record is from RNAcentral.